CUCUUCCUCCGCCCGCCGAUUGUUUCGCCGCCAAAACCGCUCCCUCCAAGUGUCUACUCCCCCCUCGUGCCAUCGUCCCGCCGCUAGCGAUUUUGUGCCGUGUGAUCCUGCUGGGACGCCGCACGAUUCUGCCGAGCGAUCCCAGAAACCCUCGCCUCCCCCCGCAUGCCUCCCGCCGCCCUCCCCCUCGCGCCGCCGCAGCCCACGGGCGGGUCCGCCCUCGCCACCCACGCACGGCCAACCCAUGCUCUCCUAGGCCCGAAUGCGACGCCCUCCACCGACCUCCCCGACGUCGCGGCGCGGAUGCGGCCACGGAGCCCGCGGAUCCAUCGAGCCGCCGCCGCCGCCAUGGCCAAUGCACGCUCCACCCUUCUGCGGAGCCGCCGAUGCCUGACUCCCGCCGUGGCCGCGGAUCCGUGGAGCCGCUGCCGCAGCCGAUUCCUGCCGUGGCCACGGAUCCAACGGCGUCCGCUUCCCGGCGGCGCAGUGCUCGUCCUCCACUCCAAUGGCGACCUCCUGCCUCCUGGUUUUCCUCUGCCUCGCCGCCGCCGUCGCAUCACCGGUUGUCCGUCGCGUCGUUCCCCGCGAUCGUCGUCCUACCAAGAAACAAUGUGAACCGUGCGAUUGCAUCUUCGGGUAAUCCUCCCGUCCACCUUCCCCAAGCCCCAACGUCGCGUCACCGCCCAUUCCCCUGCCACGGCGGUGCCGCCGCCUCCACCGCCCCGACGAUGUGCGCGGUGGAUCCGCGCCCCCAACAGUGGUGCCGCCGCAGCCUGGCAACGCGCGAUGCGGAUCUACGACCAUCCGGUACGGACCCGCAACUAAGGACGCCCCGCAGCGACGCUCACGCCGUGGAUCCACAGCCAGUGCCGCCUCCGGCGCUCAUCCGUGCACGCCGCAAUUUUGAACGCCCGCGUGCCGCCGCACGACGAACGGGCAGCUGCUUGCUAUGGUCGAUUUGCCUGUGUGCUACUCUUACUUCUUCUCUUUGUUUCUCCGUGUGAUUAAUCUUGUUGUUCGUUUCUCACUCUCUUUUACUCCUGCAAAGCCCUGGCUGCCGAGAGUGAUUGCAUUUUUUUUCAGCAAGUUCAUGCUGGAUUAGCAGCUAUUGCCACUCCUUCCUUAGUUUCUUGCUCAGCCUCCAGGGUUUGGGCUACUGCUUACCUGUACAUUAAUCUUAUAUGUUGUUUCGUUUCAGGUUCAGGCUGCUGCAAAGGGGACAACGACCUAGGCAAGGGAUGACACCUUGAUUUUUCACCAAGCUGGUCUUGUGGAAUGACGUGAUCCGAGAUGCUCUGUAAGAGAUGAAAUGGUCAAUAGGUGCUUGGAAGCAGCAGCAAUAUACACAUCAAGAUUUAAGCCUGCCCAUUACUGAGGAUCAUGAACCUGGGCUGUCUACAUGAUAUGUUGUGAGUUUUUCUAUGACGUUGAUGGUUGAAACUUAUCCUCGUCAGUUAUGGAACAUAUAAAGGUUGGUUACGCUAGGCUGAUGUGAUUUCCUUUGAUGUACCUGUUCCUAUAGGAAUUAUGUCCUCUGGUCCUGCAGUCCGGAAGAAACGUCAACAAGCUGGCCAAGUGCAAGGAAUUCCUUAAGAACUACGCAGGCCUGAAGGAAAUUAAGAAGAAUGCAAAACAGUGCCAAAAAUGCAAGAUGGCUACAUCUAUGAAGGAGGCAAUGAGAUGGGUUGCAUGAACUAUCAAUACAACCAUCGGAAUUACACACACUAAUUUUUGACACUCAACUUGUGGAUGUGAGACACAAUUUGAUAUAAUGGUUUUAUAAUUUAAAUUUGAAGUUGAAUGUGGUAUUUGAAAUUCUAAAUUUUAAACGUGGUUGUAUAGCUUAAUGCUGAACUUGCCCGUAUGAAGGUGUGUUUAUUGCA
Long non-coding RNA from Panicum virgatum (switchgrass), 1883 nucleotides. RefSeq lists it as uncharacterized. The transcript is spliced from 4 exons. The record is from RefSeq and is a predicted model, not a curated record. NCBI's taxonomy places the organism in Eukaryota, Viridiplantae, Streptophyta, Magnoliopsida, Poales, Poaceae.